AGUGCUGGCUGUGGGCUUGAGGAUUGAAGUAAUGCAUAAACCGGGUGGAUCCUUAUCAGUGUUGUUGGAAGAAAAGGCGAAGAGAUAUCAGUGAAGGGGAUGUUUGAACAGGAAUGCCAAAGAGCUGACUAGUUCUAGUCUGGCAAAAGCCAUUGCAUGCAGCACCGACAGGAAGACGGGACUCCAGGGAGCUGCAGAGGCUCCUUAGCACUGAUGUCCCUGAGUGAUGAGAUUGAAA
This 238-nucleotide long non-coding RNA is filed under the name Anas platyrhynchos platyrhynchos (common mallard). RNAcentral's name for it is "lncRNA (ENSAPLG00000022303.1)". Lineage: Eukaryota; Metazoa; Chordata; Aves; Anseriformes; Anatidae. The record is from RNAcentral.